RNAcentral lists this ribosomal RNA (430 nucleotides) under uncultured bacterium. Its description in RNAcentral is "partial 16S ribosomal RNA". It matches the Rfam family "Bacterial small subunit ribosomal RNA", at positions 354 to 796 of the family's 1533-position model. The record is from RNAcentral.
GUGGGGAAUAUUGCACAAUGGGCACAAGCCUGAUGCAGCAACGCCGCGUGAGGGACGACGGCCUUCGGGUUGUAAACCUCUUUUAGCAGGGAAGAAGCGAAAGUGACGGUACCUGCAGAAAAAGCACCGGCUAACUACGUGCCAGCAGCCGCGGUAAUACGUAGGGUGCAAGCGUUGUCCGGAAUUAUUGGGCGUAAAGAGCUCGUAGGCGGUUUGUCGCGUCUGCUGUGAAAACCCGAGGCUCAACCUCGGGCCUGCAGUGGGUACGGGCAGACUAGAGUGCGGUAGGGGAGAUUGGAAUUCCUGGUGUAGCGGUGGAAUGCGCAGAUAUCAGGAGGAACACCGAUGGCGAAGGCAGAUCUCUGGGCCGUAACUGACGCUGAGGAGCGAAAGCGUGGGGAGCGAACAGGAUUAGAAACCCCAGUAGUCC